AAGAGUAUUGAUUGGUCAGUAGGCGUUGCUUUUACACCAGUUGAUCUCUAAUCUCCAACAUAACCUCCUCCCGAGCAGGUUAGGUGUUCAGCAUAAGUUACCACGGCGAUUGAACCCGGUAACAAGUGAUCCACUUUCUUAGUACAGAAAAGCCUGGAU
Long non-coding RNA from Etheostoma spectabile (orangethroat darter), 159 nucleotides. RefSeq lists it as uncharacterized. NCBI's taxonomy places the organism in Eukaryota, Metazoa, Chordata, Actinopteri, Perciformes, Percidae. The transcript is spliced from 4 exons. The record is from RefSeq and is a predicted model, not a curated record.